This is a non-coding RNA of Phasianus colchicus (ring-necked pheasant), 1083 nucleotides long. Lineage: Eukaryota; Metazoa; Chordata; Aves; Galliformes; Phasianidae. The record is from RefSeq and is a predicted model, not a curated record.
CAGGCUCCGCGAGAGCCGCCCCCACCCAAUCACCGAGCGGGACCCAGCUCGGCCGGCCCAUAGGACUCGGCCGCUGCAGAGACUCCCUGACUCAGUCCCGCCCCCUUGACCCCCGCCGCCCAAUCACCGCGCGCCUCCGCGCCCAGAGCUAGCGAGACCCCGCGAGAUUCCCUCACCUCACACAACCCUCACCUCGGGCGGCCCCGCCUUCUUCACCUUUCCUGCCAAUCACGCGGUGCCGCUCCGGCCUGCCGGCCAAUCGAGUCUCCCCCCGGGUCGAUUCCCGCCCCCGAGACCCGCUUUUUGCCCAAUCGCGGCGCCCUAUCCGAUCCAAUUAGCCAAUGGGGGAAAACGAAAGCCCGAAAAGGGGUUACUGGGCCAAUGGUGCUCGGAGCCCGGGCGGCGGCCUGAUUGGCAGCUCUCCUCACGAGUGAGGGGCGGCGGCGGCCGUUUUUCUUCGAAUCGCUGCGCGAGGCUCCGCGUGACGGCUGAGGAAGUCUCUGGUGCGCCCGUCCGCGGGUGGGCAGCCGGCCAAUGGGAGGCGGGAAGCGGGUGACGAGCGGCGGGAGGUGCCAAUGGCGCUGCCGGGGCGGGGUGAGGUCUCACUUACUGUUGGACUUCAGCAGACCUGAUCUGUGAAGAUAAUCAAGGUUCUUUUGCUCUGAGUGCUCUGAAAAGCUUGAUAAUGGCUCCGCUACCCAAUGCUGGAUUAGUUCGGAACGCUUUGCAGUUGUACCGUUAUUUGCUCCGAUGCUGUGAGCAGCUUCCUGAAGAGAAUAUUCGUCAGCAUUACAGACAUGCAAUCAGGCAGAGUUUCAAAGUUCAUGCUGAUGAAGAUGAUCCUGAUAGAAUACAGCAAAUUAUUAAGAGAGCCAUUGAAGAUGCUGACUGGAUCAUGAACAAAUACAAAAAGCAGAAGUAGAAGAAGGAUGAAGACAAGAAUGUCAUUGGUAAACAUCUUUAGAUGGCAUCAGUCAAAUAAGUCCAGUACUAUGUUGCAUGUUCCCUGUGACCCUAAUUUCUAAACUCUCCAGAAAAGACUCCAUUCAGCUGAGUUCUGUGCACUCAAUGGCAUGAUCACUG